Molecule: non-coding RNA, 2070 nt
Organism: Chlorocebus sabaeus (green monkey)
Lineage: Eukaryota; Metazoa; Chordata; Mammalia; Primates; Cercopithecidae
Source: RefSeq, a predicted model, not a curated record
UGCCCCAUACUGCGCAUGCUCGCUAGCCCCGCCCGGCCCACACUGCGCAUGCUUGCCGGCCACGCCCGGUCCACACCACAUUGCGCAUGCUCACCGGCUUCCGCCCCGCGCCCGUCGUCAGCGUCGAGACGCAGGUGCGUGCCAGUCGAGGCUCGCUUUGCGGGCGUGUUUGGGGAUUGCCUGGCAGGGUAUUUGGGAGCCGUGGGCUGACGCGCAAGGGCGUGCAUCCGCCGAGGCCUCGUGCAGUGACUCGUGUAGUGAGGGCCGAGCCCCGUGCCGGAUUCGCUGUAGCCCGCAGCCGCUGGCGGCUUUGUGGGUGCAGCCACGCUCCUCAGCCGCCCGCCCACCUGGGCCUGGGACGCGGUCGUUUCCCUGCGUGUCUGUGGUGGUUCCUUUCCAGGGUCUCGAGCGCACCGCCCCUUCGCUGCGCUUUUAGUCGAGGGCAGUUUUCUGGGGCAUUCCCCGGUCCCCCCGUGCCUCUCGGGCGUCCUGGCCCGCGGAAGCGCGGGCGCCGACUGCCUGGCGUCGCCCGUGACACCUGGCCCCUCUCUGUGGAUCCCUGUGCUUCUCGCUGCGGGUUGUGUUUCCUGCUUCGUGGGCCUGGCCGUUUGCGUUGGAUGCAGGCCCUGGUGAUCCUUGCGUGGCCCGCUGGCCUUUUCCUGCUCCCGAGGUGACUGAGCCGCGUGUGACACAUCGCAGUGACUUGAGGCAACGCGUUCCUUUCCAGGCUUGCAGCAGGCGGUGCUGUUCACGCUCCUGAGCGGAGCCUUCCGGUGCUUUACUCGACGCCCCAAAUAGUGCGCUGUUCCUCCCAGGGACUGCCGCGAGCUGGAACUCUUCCCCCGCCCUGUGAGCUCGGGGCUGUACUUUCUCCGGUUGUCUCACUCCAGCCUCGAUGUUUCCUCGCUGCCUAAACCUGCUCGGGAACACUCGAGAAGGCCGCUCCAGGACUCCCGCUCUCCAUGGAAGGGCUUCCCCUCGGAUUGCGUCUUGGCCCCUGGAACCCUCUGUCCGUAUUCUCUGCUGUUACUCUCUUGGCCUCCAUUUGGGUUGUGGCCUGGAAACUCCUGGCUCGCUGCUUCCCUUCUCUUAAGGAUCACAGCCCUGCACUGCCUGUCGUCCAAUGCCUGGAAACCAUUGUAUUUUUUGGUCUGAUUUUGUAGUUGUUUAAGAACUUAAAUCUGGUCCCUCACACUCCAUGACCAGAAGCAGAAAUCAGUAGAAGUUUGUUUUUUCUUAAAAUGACAAUUACUUUAUUGUGUUGGUUCAAUUUAUGUUGUACUUUAGAAGAAAUUUGGCUGAAAGUACAAAGAAAAUAUACAAAUGCAAGUAUUUUUUUUUAAAACUUCCCUGAAAGCAAGGUCUGAAGAAAUUACCAACCAACUUAGACUGGAUCUGGAAGAAAAGGAAGGGUCCUUGCAGUCUUAGGACUCUUCCAUUCCGUGACGUAGGUGUUAGGUUAACAGCCAUAAAUGGUUGUAAGACUUUGGGCUCAGAUAAGUAGACUUAAGUUCAAAUUUUGACUUAUUUUACAAGUAUCUGAUUUGUGGCAAGCUCAUCUUCCUAAACCAUGAGCUCCUUAUUUGUAAAGGGGACAUUAGCCACUCUCCAGCAACAGCACUGGCACUUCUUCAGUCCUGGGAUGGGACGUAUGACUAGCCUAAGCGAACCAGAAAAUCCAAGCCCCUGACCACAGCGACUUAAUCAGGGCUGGCGAUAUGUCUAGGCCCUCCUGGUGGGAUCCCAUCGCAUCCCUUGCCUCCACUGUCAUCUGCUCCACGUGAUAUCUCCAGGGGGACCUCUCUGCUGGGCUCCAGGCCGCAUAGCUGUGGGUGGCCAGCAUGAUGUCCCACCAGGACCCCUGCCGUCCUAGCGCACCCGCCUGGUCAUCCGGGGACCUGUCCUCACUGCCUGCUGCCUGCACUGUGUGGAAGGACAGAGGCUAAACGAGGAAGCCUGGAACUCUGGUCUCAUGGACAUGGCAGCCUGCCCACCACCCACGCCUGCCCAGCCUUUCUUCACGCAGCGCGUAAGACUCUUUUAAAAAUACAAGUAUUAUCCUGUCCUGUU